UACUGUCUUAAUAAUUCUUACAUUUUAAUAAUAAUAUGUCUUAAUUCUUACAUUCUUGGGUGUGAUAAUCAUAUCAUUGAUAUUCAGAAAAAUGUCCUUGUCAUUUGGAUAUAUAUAGUAUCUAUGAAUGAAAUGCCAUGAGGUUUACAAAUUGCUUUCAAAUGUUUCAUGAAGACCUACGUAGAGAAAUAACAAAUGUGACAAAAUGUUAACAGUUGGUUAUUUUAGGUGGAGAACUUAUGGGUGUUCAUCUUACUAUUCUUCUAACUUUUUUACAUACUUGAAAUAUCAAAAUUUGAGAAUUUUAAAGCACCAUAUAACUAGCAUUACCCUAUAUGUUUUAAUAAAUAGCUCAUAUAUCUAUUUCAACUCACAUAUAUAAUACUAUUGAAUACCAACCUUUUCCCUCUUAAAGGAGAAUUAGGUUGUUUUUUAUUUGAUUACUGUUAUAGCAGGCAUCUUUGUGAAUUACUCCCUGUGCUAAGGGCAGCAGUAUCUGGAAAACUGGUCCGUGUAAGGUAGUAUAUGUAUCUUUCUUUAGCUGUGUCUUGGAGAAAACUCAGAACAUCACACACUGUUCCAUGUUGGUUUAACAUACUAACUGGGAGCUGCUUAGACUGGAGGCCUCCCUUGAUGUCACAUGCUGCAGGCCAUAUUGGCUCAUAUCCAAAGCAAGGGAUGCAUACCCCAUGGAAACAAAAGGUGAUUGGAUGAAGGUCCAGGCUGAGGGACACAUCCACAGUGUAUGACCUCAUCAUCUCCAUGUGAGGCUCCCGGGUUUUCCAAGACCGGAGUCCAGCAUAGAGAAUGGGAACUGGAUGUUAAAGGCUCGUGAUUACACCCAUCUCUUCAACUCAUGUUUUCUUGGCCAAACAAGUCACUUGGCUAUGCUUAUUUUUCUAGACACAAACAAGUGUACCUUCCCUGUGCCUGGAAUCAGAGAAGAAACAGGAGGUCCUCCCUGACAGUCAGAGGACUCCACGUCAUCCAUUGGUUUGGAGAUGGGUAAUCAAAUGAUAGCAGCUAAAAUAAAUUUAAGUUUACAAAUUCAAUAUGAAAUCUCAGAUGUAAAAGAUUUGGAU
Long non-coding RNA from Phyllostomus discolor (pale spear-nosed bat), 1082 nucleotides. RefSeq lists it as uncharacterized. The record is from RefSeq and is a predicted model, not a curated record. The transcript has 3 exons. Lineage: Eukaryota; Metazoa; Chordata; Mammalia; Chiroptera; Phyllostomidae.